AUUGAACGCUGGCGGCAGGCCUAACACAUGCAAGUCGAACGGUAACAGGAAGAAGCUUGCUUCUUUGCUGACGAGUGGCGGACGGGUGAGUAAUGUCUGGGAAACUUCCUGAUGGAGGGGGAUAACUACUGGAAACGGUAACUAAUACCGCAUAACGUCGCAAGACCAAAAAGGGGGACCUUCGGGCCUCUUGCCAUCGGGUGUGCCCAGAUGGGAUUAGCUAGUAGGUGGGGUAACGGCUCACCUAGGCGACGAUCCCUAGCUGGUCUGAGAGGAUGACCAGCCACACUGGAACUGAGACACGGUCCAGACUCCUACGGGAGGCAGCAGUGGGGAAUAUUGCACAAUGGGCGCAAGCCUGAUGCAGCCAUGCCGCGUGUAUGAAGAAGGCCUUCGGGUUGUAAAGUACUUUCAGCGGGGAGGAAGGGAGUAAAGUUAAUACCUUUGCUCAUUGACGUUACCCGAAGAAGAAGCACCGGCUAACUCCGUG
This 490-nucleotide ribosomal RNA is filed under the name uncultured bacterium. RNAcentral describes it as "partial 16S ribosomal RNA". It matches the Rfam family "Bacterial small subunit ribosomal RNA", at positions 30 to 507 of the family's 1533-position model. The record is from RNAcentral.